RNAcentral lists this ribosomal RNA (408 nucleotides) under uncultured bacterium. Its description in RNAcentral is "partial 16S ribosomal RNA". It matches the Rfam family "Bacterial small subunit ribosomal RNA", at positions 28 to 526 of the family's 1533-position model. The record is from RNAcentral.
GACGAACGCUGGCGGCGUGCUUAACACAUGCAAGUCGAACGAAGUGGCGAACGGGGGAGUAAUACGUGGGUAACCCGCCCUCCUUUUUGGGAUAAGCCUUGGGAACGGGGUCUAAUACCGAAUAAAGGGGGAUGGGGUCGCGGCCUAUCAGCUUGGUGGUGGGAUGGUGGCCUGACAAGGCGGUGACGGGCAGACGGCCUGAGAGGGUAACCGGGCACAGUGGGACGGUCAAAACGCCCAGGGGCGGACGGGGUGGAGCAUUGGGGGAUAUUGCACAAAGGGCGAAGGCCUGAUGCCGCGAGUAUGCGUGGGGGAUGAAGGCUUUCGGGUUGUAAACCUCGUUCGCAAUCGAUUGGGUAGGUGGAGAAGAAGCGCCGGCUAACUACGUGCCAGCAGCCGCGGUAAUAC